Molecule: ribosomal RNA, 800 nt
Filed under: uncultured bacterium
Lineage: Bacteria
Description: bacterial SSU rRNA
Rfam family: Bacterial small subunit ribosomal RNA
Source: RNAcentral
AGAGUUUGAUCAUGGCUCAGGAUAAACGCUGGCGGCGCACAUAAGACAUGCAAGUCGAACGAACUUAACUCAUUCUUUACGAUUGAGAGCGGUUAGUGGCAGACUGGUGAGUAAUACGUAAGCAACCUGCCUAUCAGAGGGGAAUAACAGUGAGAAAUCAUUGCUAAUACCGCAUAUGCUAACAGUAUUGCAUGAUACAGUUAGGAAAGGAGCAAUCCGCUGAUAGAUGGGCUUACGCCUGAUUAGCUAGUUGGUGGGGCAACGGCCUACCAAGGCGACGAUCAGUAGCCGGACUGAGAGGUUGAACGGCCACAUUGGGACUGAGAUACGGCCCAGACUCCUACGGGAGGCAGCAGUCGGGAAUAUUGCGCAAUGGAGGAAACUCUGACGCAGUGACGCCGCGUAUAGGAAGAAGGUUUUCGGAUUGUAAACUAUUGUCGUUAGGGAAGAUAAAAGACUGUACCUAAGGAGGAAGCCCCGGCUAACUAUGUGCCAGCAGCCGCGGUAAUACAUAGGGGGCAAGCGUUAUCCGGAAUUAUUGGGUGUAAAGGGUGCGUAGACGGAGAGACAAGUUGGUUGUGAAAUCCCUCGGCUCAACUGAGGAACUGCAACCAAGACUAUUUCCCUUGAGUGUCGGAGAGGAAAGUGGAAUUCCUAGUGUAGCGGUGAAAUGCGUAGAUAUUAGGAGGAACACCAGUGGCGAAGGCGACUUUCUGGACGAUAACUGACGUUGAGGCACGAAAGUGUGGGGAGCAAACAGGAUUAGAUACCCUGGUAGUCCACACCGUAAACGAUGGAUA